AGAGUUUGAUCAUGGCUCAGGAUGAACGCUAGCGGCAGGCUUAACACAUGCAAGUCGAGGGGUAUAGUUCUUCGGAACUAGAGACCGGCGCACGGGUGCGUAACGCGUAUGCAAUCUACCUUUUACAGAGGGAUAGCCCAGAGAAAUUUGGAUUAAUACCUCAUAGUAUGCAGAGUUGGCAUCAACACUGUAUUAAAGUCACAACGGUAAAAGAUGAGCAUGCGUCCCAUUAGCUAGUUGGUAAGGUAACGGCUUACCAAGGCGACGAUGGGUAGGGGUCCUGAGAGGGAGAUCCCCCACACUGGUACUGAGACACGGACCAGACUCCUACGGGAGGCAGCAGUGAGGAAUAUUGGUCAAUGGACGCAAGUCUGAACCAGCCAUGCCGCGCGCAGGAUGACGGCCCUAUGGAUUGUAAACUGCUUUUGUACGAGAAGAAACCCUCCAACGUGUUGGAGCUUGACGGUAUCGUAAGAAUAAGGAUCGGCUAACUCCGUGCCAGCAGCCGCGGUAAUACGGAGGAUCCAAGCGUUAUCCGGAAUCAUUGGGUUUAAAGGGUCCGUAGGCGGUUUAGUAAGUCAGUGGUGAAAGCCCAUCGCUCAACGGUGGAACGGCCAUUGAUACUGCUAGACUUGAAUUAUUAGGAAGUAACUAGAAUAUGUAGUGUAGCGGUGAAAUGCUUAGAGAUUACAUGGAAUACCAAUUGCGAAGGCAGGUUACUACUAAUGGAUUGACGCUGAUGGACGAAAGCGUGGGUAGCGAACAGGAUUAGAUACCCUGGUAGUCCACGCCGUAAACGAUGGAUACUAGCUGUUGGGAGCAAUCUCAGUGGCUAAGCGAAAGUGAUAAGUAUCCCACCUGGGGAGUACGUUCGCAAGAAUGAAACUC
RNAcentral lists this ribosomal RNA (888 nucleotides) under uncultured bacterium. RNAcentral describes it as "bacterial SSU rRNA". It matches the Rfam family "Bacterial small subunit ribosomal RNA", at positions 8 to 902 of the family's 1533-position model. The record is from RNAcentral.